Molecule: transfer RNA, 73 nt
Filed under: Cordylochernes scorpioides
Lineage: Eukaryota; Metazoa; Arthropoda; Arachnida; Pseudoscorpiones; Chernetidae
Description: tRNA-Thr
Source: RNAcentral
GUCCAGGGGCGGGAAUCGAACCCACACCCUUAUGCUUACCGGGCAGGUGACUUGUCCACUCGGCUACCCUGGA